UACGGGGGGGGCAAGCGUUGUUCGGAAUUACUGGGCGUAAAGGGCGCGUAGGCGGCUUUUCAAGUCGGGCGUGAAAUCUCCGGGCUUAACCCGGAAGGGUCGUUCGAUACUGUUGAGCUAGAGUGUGGAAGAGGCAACUAGAAUUCCGUGUGUAGCGGUGAAAUGCGUAGAUAUCAGGAGGAACACCAAUGGCGAAGGCGGCUGCCUGGACCAGUCCUGACGCUGAGGCGCGAAAGCUAGGGGAGCAAACAGG
This 253-nucleotide ribosomal RNA is filed under the name uncultured bacterium. RNAcentral's name for it is "partial 16S ribosomal RNA". It matches the Rfam family "Bacterial small subunit ribosomal RNA", at positions 524 to 776 of the family's 1533-position model. The record is from RNAcentral.